GAUGAAGAACGCAGCGAAAUGCGAUACUUGGUGUGAAUUGCAGAAUCCCGUGAACCAUCGAGUCUUUGAACGCAAGUUGCGCCCGAAGCCAUUAGGCCGAGGGCACGCCUGCCUGGGCGUCACACGUCGUUGCCCCCCCAUCUACUCCUUCGGGAUUGCGGGGGGCGGAUGAUGGCCUCCCGUGCGCCUCGUCGCGCGGUUGGCCUAAAUGCCAAGUCCUCGGCGACGCACGCCACGACAAUCGGUGGUUGCGAAACCUCGGUUGCCUGUCGUGUGCGGUCGUCGCGCAUCGAGGGCUCGAAAAAAUUGCCGGGCUUCGGCUCGACUUUCAACGCGACCCCAGGUCAGGCGGGGUUACCCACUGAAUUUAAGCAUAUCAAUAAGCGGAGGA
Molecule: unclassified non-coding RNA, 391 nt
Filed under: soil metagenome
Description: partial contains 5.8S ribosomal RNA, internal transcribed spacer 2, and large subunit ribosomal RNA
Rfam family: 5.8S ribosomal RNA (bases 1-122)
Source: RNAcentral